Molecule: transfer RNA, 89 nt
Filed under: Brevibacillus brevis
Lineage: Bacteria; Bacillati; Bacillota; Bacilli; Caryophanales; Paenibacillaceae
Also listed under: 55 other names
Description: tRNA-Ser(tga)
Rfam family: tRNA
About the family: Transfer RNA (tRNA) molecules are approximately 80 nucleotides in length.
Source: RNAcentral
GGAGGGAUACCGAAGUGGUCAUAACGGGGCGGUCUUGAAAACCGUUAGAGUGCAAGCUCACGCGGGUUCGAAUCCUGCUCCCUCCGCCA